RNAcentral lists this ribosomal RNA (216 nucleotides) under Glomeromycotina sp. RNAcentral's name for it is "partial small subunit ribosomal RNA". The stretch from base 40 to 216 matches the Rfam family "Eukaryotic small subunit ribosomal RNA", at positions 686 to 864 of the family's 1831-position model. Lineage: Eukaryota; Fungi; Glomeromycota. The record is from RNAcentral.
GGGUCAGUAGGUUGGUCGUGCCCCCGGUACGUACUGGUCUCACUGAUUCCUCCUUCCUGAAGAACCGUAAUGCCAUUAAUUUGGUGGUGCGGGGAAACAGGACUGUUACUUUGAAAAAAUUAGAGUGUUUAAAGCAAGCUAACGCUUGAAUACAUUAGCAUGGAAUAAUGAAAUAGGACGAUCGAUCCUAUUUUGUUGGUUUCUAGGAUUGACGUA